GGCAGUUUUGGUAUUUCAAUUGGAAGUGCGUUGGAUUCAUAAUCCAAGGGUGGCGGUUUCGAUACCUGCUCAGGCCA
Non-coding RNA from Potamilus streckersoni, 77 nucleotides. The record is from the annotation of a GenBank genome assembly. NCBI's taxonomy places the organism in Eukaryota, Metazoa, Mollusca, Bivalvia, Unionida, Unionidae.